GUAGUUUGACUCCGUGGCUCGAGGACGACGCUGGCGGCGUGCUUAACACAUGCAAGUCGAACGGGGUGCCUAUGAAAGAGAUUUCGGUCAAUGGAUUAGGUUACUUAGUGGCGGACGGGUGAGUAACGCGUGGGGAACCUGCCUUUCAGAGGGGGACAACAGCUGGAAACGGCUGCUAAUACCGCAUGACACAUAUUUAUCGCAUGGUAGAUAUGUCAAAGAUUUAUCGCUGAGAGAUGGCCUCGCGUCUGAUUAGCUAGUUGGUAGGGUAACGGCCUACCAAGGCGACGAUCAGUAGCCGGACUGAGAGGUUGGCCGGCCACAUUGGGACUGAGAUACGGCCCAGACUCCUACGGGAGGCAGCAGUGGGGAAUAUUGGGCAAUGGGCGCAAGCCUGACCCAGCAACGCCGCGUGAAGGGAGAAGGCUUUCGGGUUGUAAACUUCUUUUAAGAGGGAAGAGCAGAAGACGGUACCUCUUGAAUAAGCCACGGCUAACUACGUG
Molecule: ribosomal RNA, 503 nt
Filed under: uncultured Oscillibacter sp.
Lineage: Bacteria; Bacillati; Bacillota; Clostridia; Eubacteriales; Oscillospiraceae
Description: bacterial SSU rRNA
Rfam family: Bacterial small subunit ribosomal RNA
Source: RNAcentral